This 495-nucleotide ribosomal RNA is filed under the name uncultured bacterium. RNAcentral describes it as "partial 16S ribosomal RNA". It matches the Rfam family "Bacterial small subunit ribosomal RNA", at positions 28 to 507 of the family's 1533-position model. The record is from RNAcentral.
GACGAACGCUGGCGGCGUGCCUAAUACAUGCAAGUAGAACGCUGAAGGAGGAGCUUGCUCUUCUGGAUGAGUUGCGAACGGGUGAGUAACGCGUAGGUAACCUGCCUGGUAGCGGGGGAUAACUAUUGGAAACGAUAGCUAAUACCGCAUAAGAGUAGAUGUUGCAUGACAUUUGCUUAAAAGGUGCACUUGCAUCACUACCAGAUGGACCUGCGUUGUAUUAGCUAGUUGGUGGGGUAACGGCUCACCAAGGCGACGAUACAUAGCCGACCUGAGAGGGUGAUCGGCCACACUGGGACUGAGACACGGCCCAGACUCCUACGGGAGGCAGCAGUAGGGAAUCUUCUGCAAUGGACGGAAGUCUGACCGAGCAACGCCGCGUGAGUGAAGAAGGUUUUCGGAUCGUAAAGCUCUGUUGUAAGAGAAGAACGAGUGUGAGAGUGGAAAGUUCACACUGUGACGGUAUCUUACCAGAAAGGGACGGCUAACUACGUG